GAUGAACGCUGGCGGCGUGCCUAAUACAUGCAAGUCGAGCGAACAGACGAGGAGCUUGCUCUUCUGACGUUAGCGGCGGACGGGUGAGUAACACGUGGAUAACCUACCUAUAAGACUGGGAUAACUUCGGGAAACCGGAGCUAAUACCGGAUAAUAUUUUGAACCGCAUGGUUCAAUAGUGAAAGACGGUUUUGCUGUCACUUAUAGAUGGAUCCGCGCUGCAUUAGCUAGUUGGUAAGGUAACGGCUUACCAAGGCAACGAUGCGUAGCCGACCUGAGAGGGUGAUCGGCCACACUGGAACUGAGACACGGUCCAGACUCCUACGGGAGGCAGCAGUAGGGAAUCUUCCGCAAUGGGCGAAAGCCUGACGGAGCAACGCCGCGUGAGUGAUGAAGGUCUUCGGAUCGUAAAACUCUGUUAUUAGGGAAGAACAAAUGUGUAAGUAACUAUGCACGUCUUGACGGUACCUAAUCAGAAAGCCACGGCUAACUACGUG
RNAcentral lists this ribosomal RNA (497 nucleotides) under uncultured bacterium. RNAcentral describes it as "partial 16S ribosomal RNA". It matches the Rfam family "Bacterial small subunit ribosomal RNA", at positions 28 to 507 of the family's 1533-position model. The record is from RNAcentral.